CCCGCUGAACUUAAGCAUAUCAUUAAGCGGAGGAAAAGAAACUAACAAGGAUGCCCUUAGUAACGGCGAGUGAAGCGGGCAAAGCUCAACUUGAAAAUCGGGGCCCCUUUGGGGUUUCGAAUUGUAGUCUAGAGACGCGCCAUCAGCAAGUGACCCUGGUAUAAAUCUUUUGAAACAAGGUAUCAUAGAGGGUGAGAAUCCCGUCUUUGACUAGGAGAUCACUGCGUACGAUGCGUGUUCGUAGAGUCGGGUUGCUUGGGAUUGCAGCUCAAAAUGGGUGGUAAAUUUCAUCUAAAGCUAAAUAUCGACGAGAGACCGAUAGCAAACAAGUACCGUCAGGGAAAGAUGAAAAGAACUUUGAAAAGAGAGUUAAAAAGUACUUGAAAUUGUUAAGAGGGAAGCACUGGAAACCAGUCGUGCUCUGUGCCAUAUUUAUCGUCGCCUGGCAAAGGGAGUUUGUUCGGCGAUCGCAAGACGCCGUGUGGGCUUCGGAUGUUGGGUGGCGAGUUCUGUGGUAUGGGGUGAGUCAGAAUGAAUUCGCUGCGCGGGAGAAAGCUAGCUUGGACGGUAGGACGGAGGGGGCAACUCCAAAGUCUGAAGCCGGUUAGUGCUACCGUGUGGCGGAUUGAGGGCUGGAAAUACGCACCACUAGGCUUCGGUUCCUGGUUCCUGGCGUGUGCGUCUGCUUUGGACAACAAAGUUGUGCGGGUGGGCGUGCGUGUCACUGGGCUGGGCCAACCAGAUGCAGUAUUCGAGAUUCUGACGAAAUGGUUUUCAUUGACCCGUCUUGAAACACGG
Molecule: ribosomal RNA, 798 nt
Filed under: uncultured fungus
Lineage: Eukaryota; Fungi
Description: eukaryotic LSU rRNA
Rfam family: Eukaryotic large subunit ribosomal RNA
Source: RNAcentral